RNAcentral lists this ribosomal RNA (465 nucleotides) under uncultured bacterium. Its description in RNAcentral is "partial 16S ribosomal RNA". It matches the Rfam family "Bacterial small subunit ribosomal RNA", at positions 338 to 795 of the family's 1533-position model. The record is from RNAcentral.
CCUACGGGAGGUAGCAGUGGGGAAUAUUGCGCAAUGGGCGAAAGCCUGACGCAGCGACGCCGCGUGAGGGAUGAAGGUCUUCGGAUCGUAAACCUCUGUCAACAGGGAAGAACGGUCACUGUGCUAAUCAGCAGUGAAUUGACGGUACCUGCAAAGGAAGCACCGGCUAACUCCGUGCCAGCAGCAGCGGUAAUACGGAGGGUGCGAGCGUUAAUCGGAAUUACUGGGGGUAAAGCGCUCGUAGGCGGUAUGUCAAGGCAAGGGGGAAAUCCCCGCGCUCAACGUGGGAACUGCAUUUGAAACUGGCAAACUGGAGUGUGUGAGAGGAUAGUGGAAUUCCAGGUGUAGGAGUGAAAUCCGUAGAUAUCUGGAGGAACAUCAGUGGCGAAGGCGACUAUCUGGCACAUAACUGACGCUGAGGAGCGAAAGCGUGGGUAGCAAACAGGAUUAGAUACCCCUGUAGUC